RNAcentral lists this ribosomal RNA (425 nucleotides) under uncultured beta proteobacterium. Its description in RNAcentral is "bacterial SSU rRNA". It matches the Rfam family "Bacterial small subunit ribosomal RNA", at positions 207 to 622 of the family's 1533-position model. Lineage: Bacteria; Pseudomonadati; Pseudomonadota; Betaproteobacteria. The record is from RNAcentral.
CAAGACCUUGCGCUGAUUGAGCGGCCGAUAUCAGAUUAGCUAGUUGGUGAGGUAAAGGCUCACCAAGGCGACGAUCUGUAGCGGGUCUGAGAGGAUGAUCCGCCACACUGGAACUGAGACACGGUCCAGACUCCUACGGGAGGCAGCAGUGGGGAAUUUUGGACAAUGGGGGCAACCCUGAUCCAGCCAUGCCGCGUGAGUGAAGAAGGCCUUCGGGUUGUAAAGCUCUUUCAGCCGGGAAGAAAACGCGUGGGUUAAUACCCUGUGUGGAUGACGGUACCGGAAUAAGAAGCACCGGCUAACUACGUUGCCAGCAGCCGCGGUAAUACGUAGGGUGCGAGCGUUAAUCGGAAUUACUGGGCGUAAAGCGUGCGCAGGCGGUUUUGUAAGACAGGCGUGAAAUCCCCGGGCUCAACCUGGGAACU